This 16252-nucleotide long non-coding RNA is filed under the name Coffea arabica (coffee). Its description in RNAcentral is "long non-coding RNA (CARA_LNC001133)". The record is from RNAcentral. Lineage: Eukaryota; Viridiplantae; Streptophyta; Magnoliopsida; Gentianales; Rubiaceae.
UUUUUUUUUUUUUUUUGCAUUAGAUGUUAAAUUUACAUUAUAAGAGUAUUUUUGAAUAACAAUGUAUUCAAGAAAGGUUAUAAUAGAUUAUACAAUAAGUUUGUAUUUUAUGCAAAUAUUUUUAUGAACUACACUAAAUAAUUUAUUUUUUUUAGACAAUUCCCAUUCAACGAAUGGGUAUAAAACUAGUAUAUAUAAUAAAGUCGUAUUCUCAUUCUUAUCACUUUAUACUUUCUCUUUCCUACGUGACUUAACGACAUGACAAGUAGUUUCAACUCGCUCUAUAAAAUAACCUACGCUCUUCCAUCUCAAUUUUCACCUUUUUUUUAAAAAUAACCUAUACUCUAUACGGAGCUUAUCUCUCUCUUUUCAUAAACAUGAAAUCAAUUAUCAAUAUCAAUCUAAAUUUAAUUUCAAAUAUAAAACCGUCCUUAUCAUCCAUGUAUGACUUAUAAAACCGUUAUUAUAACCGUCCUAAGCAUUCUAUCCUAGAUUUGCAGCAGAUUAUCAUUCUAUCAUAAUCAUAUAUUUGCGGCCGCUUGCUCCUCUUUUGGUUUGUGAACUUCUAGGUAUAACAAGGUAUGACCCGUAUAAUUUCUUUAACAUGCACGCCUUUAGUAAAACUAUUUUUUAUUAUCAUCUUUUUAUAUUCUUAUCAAUAUCUUUUUAUAUCCUUAUCAAUUCUUAUUUCCUACCCAAAGUUAAAUACUUUAAGCAACUUAAUUUAAGAUAAAACUACUUUUAAUUUUCUUAACAAUAUCUCUUUAUAUCCUUAUCAAUUUUUAUUUCCUACCCAAAGUUACAUACUUUAAGCAACUUAAAUUAAGAUAAAACUACUUUUAAUAUUUUUAUCAAUAUCUCUUUAUAAGCUUAUCAAUUCUUAUGCCUACAUAUAACCUCUAAUAAACGAAUUUCAAUUAAGCAUCAAAUUCAUGGUUAAGCAUUUUCAGUGCAAGCGGUUGGCACAUUAAAGCAUCGAUUUUGGGUUUCCACUCCUCUUGAUUAUCAGGUACAUCUUUCUUCGAUACACAUUUUUCUUUUUUAAAAAGACAUGUUCAUCUUCAAUUAUAAGCAUUUAGUAACAUAUCUUGAAUUUUGUGUGUUUUGGUUUUAUUUUCUAUUUGUUUUGUAUGAAGAGAUAGGAUUUAAACAAGUAUUUUCAUCUUAAGUUUUCAUAUACAUUAAGUUUGUAUUUAAGAAAGGUUAUAAUAAAAUAUACAUUAAAUUUGUAUUUCAUAUAAACAUUUUUAUAAAAUUGGCUAAAUAAUUUAUUAUUUUUCGACGAUUCCGUUCAACGAACGGGUACAAAACUAAUUUGCUAUUAAAAGAGAGUAAAAAGUGCAUUAAAUUUGAAAUUUCUAAAAGAUAACACUCUGCAUGCAGGAUUUGAAAUCUGAAUGUCCCACGAUUUGAAGUGGGCCAUAUUCUACUGAUCAAUUGCAACAGAAUCAUUGUUUCUUUAUGGAGAUAAUCUCUGCUGAUUAGUUACUAUAGGGACAAAAUAUUUGGUUUCCUUUUUAUUAGUACUAUAUUAUUUAGAAUCACAUUCCAAAAAGGACUGUUAUCCUUUUGGUUAUGGGAAUAACUCAAGGAUAGCGUAGGAGAGUUGAUCAUGACUCGGGAGUAGUCAAUUAGGAAUGAAUAAAGCCAAAGAGGAGAAUACGAUCCUCAGGCCUUUUGUUUUUUCUUUCGUUGAAACAAAAUUUUCCAUUAUUCCUUUUCUUUUCUUUUCUUUUCACUUUAAUUAAAAAAUCCUAAAAAUAUCUUUUGCUACGAUUCCAUUACGAUGAAUGGCUAAUUUUCUGUUGUAGUUAGAGGAUUAUCAAAGUUUUGGUUCAUCGAAUACUGUGAAAUCUAAUUUAAUUGAUUUGUUUCAUUUAUUUAUGAGUAAUUUAAUCCUAUAAAACCUUUUCUUACUCCUAAAAUGAAGAAUACUUUUUAUAAAUUGAUAGGUAUCGAGUUACAUACUAAUUCUAAGUGUAUCAUUUUCAUGGAUAAAUGCUCUAUGUGGCUUCAGUGUAAAUUUUAAAUUUAGUCAAUUGAGAUUCAUGUUGUGCAAUGCCAUCAGUGCGACAUUGCCAACUUGAAAGCCUUUCAACAUUUAGUACGAUAUUGUUCAGAAAUAAGUGUAAUAAGGCUAUAGAAUUAUAUUCUUAGUAAAUUCUUAUACCUAUUAAAUUUCAUUACUUUAUAAUGAUUUUGUACAUUUAAAUAUGACAUUUAUUUUAAGUUUUGUGCAUGAACGUGGUUCAAUAUUCACUCAACUUAACAGCAAAAAAAUAUCUCAAUAGAUAUCUCAAAACAAACAUAGCAAUUUAAAAGCAUGAAAAGACUUCAUGAUUCAUGUUUCAACCUCAAGCAGCUCAGCAUCCAUUUUGUUAUUUAGGCUGAACACAAGCAUAAUGGUCAUCACGCCAAUUAAAAGGAUUGACUUCGGCCGUUUUCCAUCAAUUGCGUUGGUAGGAUAUAGAUUUCUUUGUUUGUCGAAAUAAUUUGUGACAUGCACGGGGUAUACAUAUACAAUUAGUUCAUUCACAGUCAAGUUUUACAUUUAUAACAUCCUAAAUACCCUACACAAGAUUUUUCUGCAAGUAUACAGGUGGUGAGCGAGUAUAGGGUACUAAGAGUCGAACCCAUAAGGAAGAUUUUCAAUUACUGGUGAUUUUCGAACUUCUUUAUUAUCUAGAAUACCAUAAACGUAAAAGUAAUGAAAAUAAUGCUAGAAAGUUUCUAGAGGUAUGGAAUUCCUUACUAUUCUUGCAAAUGAAGUUACCGGUUAAGUGAAUGUUAUUAUCUUACCUAGUUAUGGUGUAAUUUCCUAAUGUAUGUGAAACCUACUCUCGUAGUGAAUCGACUAUACUUAUAGCUAAACCAUACCUACUCUCGUGGUUAUGAAUUAACUACAAACUCAUUUCUUCUAUGAAAUUACAUGAAACAAGUCACUAAAACCACAAAGGUGCACCUCUACUCUCGUGAGUGUAUUCCCUAGGUUUAUCACUUCCUUGAACUAGUAUCAAGUUUCAAUUUUCAUUGCAAACUUAACACCUUUAGAUAAUCAUAACUAAUGGCCGGUUAAUCAUGAUUAGAAAAGCAAAAGUAAUAAAUAACUUGUUCAAAAUAAUAUCAUCAAAUAAUCAAGUAAAUAUCACAAACAAGAUAUAGAAAGUUCAUCCAUAACUCUAGGCAUAAACUUUAACUAAACAUGAUAAAAACACGAAGCCAAACUUGUAUUAUAGCUAAACAUGAAAUCAAAUACAAGAGAGCAAGCAGUAGAAGAGAUAUCACCCUUGUCACAUGAGAUCAACCUCUCCAUCUUUGCUCCUCAAUCUUCAUCCAAAUCUAACUAUAAAUACAAGAAAGAGAAACUACACUAACUACUCUAUACUACCCUAACUAAUGAACUAAGGAAAUUCUAGUGAAAACUACGGCUCCAUUUGGAUUAGCUGUUUUUGGGGUUGUUUUUCAAAAACAGCACUGUAGCAUUUCGUUUUUGAAAUACAAAUCCGUUUGGAUUAGUUGUUUUUGCGGUUGUUUUUCAAAAACUAUAUGAAAAACUUUUACUGUAAAUGUUUUUUGGAUUAGAGGUAUUUUUAAAAAAUAUUUUUGGGUAUUUUUAUAAUUUAUAAUUUAUAAUUUUUAUUUUUACAUACAUUUAUGCAUUUAUAAAUAUUUAUAAAUAAAUAUAUUUAUAUAAAAAUAUAUAAAUUUAUGUAUUAUAUUAUAUAUAAUACAUAAUAUAAAUAUAUUUAUAAAUGUAUAAGUGUAUAUUAUUAUAAAUGUAUAAAUUAUAAAUGAAUAUUAUAUAAAUUUAUAAAUUAUAAAUGAAUAUUAUAUAAAUGUAUAAAUUACAAAUUAUAAAUUUUAUAUUUUUAUAUAAAUAUACAUUUAUGCAUUUAUAAUACAUUUAUAAAUAUUUAUAAAUAAAUAUAUUUAUAUAUUCAUAUAAAAAUAUAUAAACGUAUUAUAAAUUUAUUAUAUUAUAAAUAAUACAUAAUAUAAAUAUAUUUAUAAAUGUAUAACUAUAUAUUAUUGUAAAUGUAUAAAUUAUAAAUGAAUAUUAUAUAAGUGUAUAAAUGUAUAAAUGUAUAAAUUUUAUAUUUUUAUAUAAAUAUACAUUUAUGCAUUUAUAAUAUAUUUAUAAAUAUUUAUAAAUAAAUAUAUUUAUGUAUUUAUAUAAAAAUAUAUAAAUGUAUUAUAUUAUAUAUAAUACAUAUAUUAAUAUAUUUAUAAAUGUAUAAGUGUAUAUUAUUAUAAAUGUAUAAAUUAUAAAUGAAUAUUAUAUAAAUGUAUAAAUUAUAAUUUUAUUCAUAUAUGUUAAUAUUAUGUAUAAAUGUAUUAAUAUAAUUAAUAUAAAUGUACAAAUGUAUUAAUAUUAUGUAUAAAUGUAAAAUUAAUAUUAUGUAUAAAUGUAUAUUAUAAAUAUACAUUAAUAUAUAUAUUAUGUAUAAAUGUACAUUUAUAUAAAUGUAUAAUAUAUAAAAUAUAUAUUAUAUAUUAUAUUAUACAUAAUUUAUAUAAUAUAUAGUAUUCAUAUAAAUAUAUUAUAAAUAUAUAAAAAUAUUUUUAAAUAAAAUUAAAUAUUUAUAAUAUGUAUAAAUAAAUAAAUAAAUAAUUAAUAUAUAUAAUAUACAUUAAUAUUAAUUAUAAAUAUUAUAAUAUUAUAAAUAUGGUGUUUAUAUAAUAUUUCAAUUUGUAAUAUUUAUUGUAUAUUUCAUUAUACAAAUAUUUGUAUAGUAUAUAAUAUAUAAUUUCCAAUUUGUAUAAUAUACAUAAUAUUGUAUAUAUAUAAUAUAAUAUACAUAAUAUAAUAUAUUUAUACAUAAUAUACAUUAUUACAUUAUUACAUAUUAUGUAUAUUAUAUAUUAUACAUAACAUUAUUAUACAUUAUUAUACACAAUAAUGUACAUAAUAAUAUCAUACAUUAAUAAUAUAUAUAUUAUAAUAUAAUGUACAUAAUAUAUUAUGUAUAAAUAUUUACACAUUUAUGUAUACAAUAUUACAUAUUAUGUAUAUUAUAUUAUGUAUAUUAUAUUAUAUUAUGUAUAAUAUACAAUAUUAUGUAUUAUAUUAAUGUAUAUAAACAUUUAUAUAAUAUAAUAUAUAUAUUUUUUCAAUUUGUAUAUUUCAAUUUAUAUUAAUAUAAUAUAUAUAUAAUAUAUACAUAAUUGAAAUAUACAAAUGUAGUUGUUUUUGAUAUAAUGUUUGGAUAUGGUGUUUUUGGAGUUGUUUUGGAAAUACACAUUUACUAGCAUUUGGAAUGUGAAAAAUAGUUUUUCAAAAACAACUCCAAAAACAAGGGAUCCAAACGGACCCUACAUUUUUUGUGAGUUUCUCUAACCUUCCAAAGUUGUGAAAAUGUUCUCCAAGGCCUCUAUUUAUAAAGGAAUUCAAGCUCAAGGUGAGUUGUUGAGGUUGAUGUAAAUUGCUCCUUGGAAUCACCAAAAGAUGCUUCUUGAAUUCUCUAUACUUACUUGCUCAGUUCCAGCUGGAUUUCUUGCAGAUAAAUUGAUCAAAAAUCUUGUGUGAAUAGAGCACAAGUUGCAGAGCCGCAAUUGGAGAUUCGAGGGCAAGAUCCAAGGUCGGAUCGCUCAAAAUACCCCUCGGAUCUCAUUUUUCUUCAUUUUUAUUUUCACUGCACAUUAAGAUCCGAGGCUCGUAACAUGGGGAUCCGAGCCCGGACCUCCCCUCGGAUAUAGCCUCUGAUUACAGAAGUUUAUCCGAAGUCAGGUUUAGUACAAAUCCAAACUUGGAUUUACUUGCUCUGUGUUUUUCCAACUUCCACUGAUCUUUUCUUGAUGAUGGAGGCUGAACUAGUUCUUGUUCAAAAUAUAAAAGUUGUAGCUCUUUGAGUUCGCUUUUCAAUGCAUCAAGAAUCAUCCAAUUUAAAGCUCUGUGAACUGAGAAAUGACUAAAAAACCCUCAACUGGUCAGAACUCUUUUUCAGCUUUCGACCAUGAAAAUGCACUUCUGUAUUUCGACUUUUUAACAAUGAAAACGACUGAACUGGAUUUCUAUGUUUCCAUACCAAAUAUAGAUCUAUCUCUUAGCUUCAAAAUGGUAUAAGAAUCGUCUCAAUUAGAUACUUGUACUCAAGAUAUUAUCAAAAUACCACAAUAUAUCGAAGCUGUGAAACUUGCUUCCUUUUGUUCUUGCUUGCAUUUCCUCUUUUGCAUUUCAUGUCUUCUUUAAACUAAUUCAAAUCAUCAUCAAUCAUCCAAAUAUCUUCUCAAAUCACUUCAUUUGAUGAUUGAAUCCUUAAACCUAUAAAAACAUGAAGUUUUUACGAUAAAAAUCCAUAGAAAUGCAAUUUUACUACUUAAACCACAAAAUGUAUAUUUUCAUUUGAAACCCAGUUCAUUAGCUAUAAACAUGACUAAAACACACCGAAACUAAAUAAUAAAAUACACUUAAAACACUCAAAAUAUGCACUUGUCAAUUUGGACACCAAGGAUGGGAUUUGGACACUAAUGUUAAAAGAAGUUUUGCCAAACUGGAAUAAGCAUGUGGAGGGUUUAAAGCAGGAAAGUUUUGAGAACAUGUAACAAUUUUCUAUUCAGUAGUUGAUUCACAAAAAAUCAUUUCUAUUAUUUAAAGACUAACUAAGUUCUUCUCCUUCAAGCUGUCAAUGGUAUCCUUUAGGCUGACAUCCAAUGGAAUCAAUUCCAUUCCCAAGCUUUUAACUUUCUUGUUUGAUACUCCAUAGUCUGGGUGUUGGGAAUUGCCACUGGUAGAACACCUAAGGAAAAAGUGGAGAGGUGAAUACAGAUAUACUCAUCAAAUUUAACUCUUCAAAAAUGAGGAGGGCAUUUGCUAUAUGAUGCAUAUGUAAUCAAUGUUCACUACUUUGUUCCUUGUUGACAUUCAAAUGAACAUGAUGCUACCAAUUUCUAACUGCAUAACUGUCCAGUAAACACAUGACUGUGGCCUAUAUAUCUGGCCCUUGCCCAAGAAAUUUAGCCUAGAAGCAAGUUGAGAGGCUCAGAAGUUAGUCUGGAAGGUGGAACUCAUAGAAGGAAGAAGAGAUGACACUUUCAAGCUGAAUUCACUAAUUUGAACCGACUCUUUUAACCCUGUGAAAUCUUUUGGCAUUGCAGGUUGAAUUUCUUCCAGAUUGGGCAUCUUACAGAACAGAAGCCUCUCACAGGAACUUUUAUCCUACCAGAACCAGAAUCUAUCCUGGCUUGGCUCCAAGACCAAGCAUCAUCACGCCAUUUUGCCUAGUCCAUAAUACCUACCAAAAUACAUUGAAACAAUAUGCCAAAUAUUUUGGUUCAGUAUUAUCAGAAAGCAUCUAGUUGUUGGAUACUUGAAUUCAUUUCUAUAAAGAGGUAUAUCUUUCCUGCUUUGUAUUCAAAGAAUUCUGUAAUAGACCUUUCUAACUUAAUAUGUUAAAACCUUUCUGUAAGCAAUUGGAAAACCAAAAUGCUGAUUUGGUCAUAGUAACUUGAAAUAGUCAAAUUUGAAGUACAAUAUCAGGAGAUAAACAUUUUGUUUUGGUACUUUAUUUUUUGCUAUUCCUGUAGCAAAAAGAAUGCUGGAUUAUGCUCCUAUUUGAAAUUCUGGAUGGUGGCUUGGGGAGCAGAUCAACUCCUGUCUGAUUCACAGUUGAAUCAGCUUAAGCAAUUGAACAAAUGGAUUCUUCUACGACUACAUUACCUCUAUUCUAAGUGUCUUUCCAUCCAAUGAAACAGAAAGAUAUACCGGUAAAAUUUACAGAUUCUAUACUGAUGGCAUAAGGCAAAACCAUAUCAAAUCAAUUAUUUCAUCCAGAAGUAUGGAGGAUCCAAGUGAUAGUUGAAAAACUUUUAGUUGAUCAUGCAGAAAGUUGUCACAAUUACAUAUUUUGUUGGACCUCAACUCAUGAAAAAACCUUAUUGCAAGAAGAAAUCAAAGAAAGUGGCUCGUUUAUGAGAAGAUGAUGCUUAACAACAUAGAAUAUACUUUUAAUCAGAUUCAAAGGAGAUGUCAUGACAUAUGACAUAAUUUGGCAUGGAAUUAGUUGAAGCUAUACAUACAUAUCUGGUAAGUGGAGAGUAGGGUAAAGUUCUCGCAGAAGUUUGGUGAGCUGAGAGAUGUGAGCAGAUCUCUCAAUUAUACAAUAUCUUCCACUGGCAGAAGGGAUUUCAAAGGCUAGAAUGUGUGCAUAGGCUACAUCUCUAACAUCAACCCAUCCAAAAGGUGCACCCUUGAUCGAAUCAGCUCCUGCAUUGAAAAAUUCAAUGAAUAAUAUGAUCAACCUGUAAUCACUAACAUAUCUUGCCAGUGUUUUUGAAGGCACUAUUAGCCAAUAUUGAGAGAGAAAAAUAGGCAAAACUAGAAGCUAGUGCAGCUUUUUGGUCGAAAUGGAGAUUUACAUUGAGAAUUGCAUAUCUCUUUUCUUCUUUCUUGGUACACCAAUAGCUAUCAAAGAAAGUGAUUAUUGGGAGGUCAAUAAGCUAGUAAGGCAGGUCAUUAACCACUUGAAACAACUGUUGGACUCAAAAGUUGCAUAACUGAUUUAGUCUUUUGGAUGCAAUUUUAGUGACUCAAUUAAGUAAUACAUGCUAAAAAUGUCCUCAAGUCUUUUGCUUUUAUUCAAGUUUCCAACAGUCUGUCUACUUUCAUAACAAAAGCCAUUUACUAGGCAAUCCAGGCUAAGAAAUCAACGUGAUUGUCAUGAAUAUGCAGGUUUGUCUGGAUGAUAUGUGUUCAAAGUUCAAACAGACAGGUAAUAUAUAGAAUGAAGUUGAAAAAAUUGUUGCUUCCUUCCCUCCAUAUGUGAUAGUAAAUCAACCAAAAUAGAUAGAUAGAUAGAUAUAUAUAUAUAUAUAUAUAUAUAGAGAGAGAGAGAGAGAGAGAGAAAGAGAGACAGACAGACAGACAGACAGAGAGAUUUGUCAUCUGUUCUUGCAAAAGGUAAAAGCUAAGGAGAGCCAUCUGUUCUGGUGGAAUGCUAAUAGGUAGACUUCUGCAGUGUGAUUGGUUAUACUAUCUAGGCAAAAAACUUUGGGAUUCAUGAUAACUUUUCCGAGCAAUAGGAUGUCUUUCAACUGAUAAAACUGAGAUUCAAAUAUACAUUACACAAGUAAAAAUAGUUAGGAAUUACACACCUUUUUGUAAUACUUCAGGGAGGAAAAAUAUUUAGGAAUAUUACUCAAAUAUUUUUCUUUGUGUAUUUGACUUAAAAUGCAAAUUUUGCAGCAAGAAAGGUGCUAUCAUAGAUGAAACCAAAAGAAAAAUUAGACAGGAAUAUUCAAAGAUAGUAUAAGUAGAUAUACAUUGAUUAUAUGUGCCUUCACUUGUAUUUAUGUACCUUUGCUUUAGAUUACCCAAAAUGCUAUCAGUGAAAAUUUGAAUUCAGAUGGAACAUGAUGGGCAAGAAUGCAUAUAUUUGUUCGGAAAUUCUUUUGUUAAAUGAAUAGACUCUAAAUAUCAAUAGAGUUACUUAAGAAUUACUUGCUUGUACUACUUUGCGAAGAACAAACUUCAAAUGGCUAGGAAGCCUCUAACUGAAAAACAUAAACACACAUCAGAUAGAGCAUGAUUAACUAGAGAUCUUAAAGGUUUCCAGAAGUACCAUUUACUAGGUUCAGGAUUAUUCCUACACUUUGACUGGCAAAAGGCUGCAGGAUAGGACCAAUAACCAUUCCUGGAUUAAUCACAAUCAUGUCAAUUCCGUGCUUUUUUGUGAAUUGCCAUGCAGCAUUCUCUGCUAAAAUUUUUGAAAGUACAUACCACAUCUGAAAAGACCAAAAGGUUUGUCAGUUAUCCUUGUAAAAGGUAUUUCUUCAAGAAGGACAAUACAAAAGCAUGUUUUGGAAAAACAAAAGAACUCUGAAAAUCCUCCUGUCUCAUUCCAAGUUUUGUCCAACAUUUGAGAUCAAGAGUUGUUGGCCUAGUCCAUGUCUGAAGUGGCCAAAGUUGGUGUUAGAUUAUGAAGGCUGGUGGUUUUGGCAACACUAGGCAUGUUAUAUAGGGCUAUCUUAGGGAUGGCAUGUCUUUAAUGGUGCGUGAUCACGAUAUCCAGGAACUGCUCAGCACUGGACAUCUCAGAAUCAUUUCAGUGACACAUAACGCCAUUGUUGAAUUGCAACUACCAAUUCACCAUAAGCAUCAUAAGUCCCCAGUUCAAGUCAAAAGAUUGGGGUAUUGCAAUUCCUAGAUUUUUACCCCUGUCCUUACCUCGGUUAUAAUUAGCACUUUCUGCACUGCCUUCCAGGUAUAAUGAAACCUAAAGGUUAGACAUAUCUAGACAGGCUAUGAUUUAGACACAACUAGUUUUCAUCAAUUUCUCAAGAAUAGUGUUCAACCUCCUUUGGAGAAAGCUUAUCUAGAUAACUUUAUUUGAUUAUGGUCUACAAAAAAAUACAAAAUAUCAGCAUAACACUUGUUCAGCACAAUUUUUUUGCGUCUCAAUCUUAUACGUACUGUUUCAAUUUUAAGGCCAUAUUAUCAAUCAUUGUGACUGGAAAGCUUCCCGUUAUGUGAGGUGCAUAAUAGUGUGCCCUAAUAUCCUUACAUAUAUGAAGUGUGCAUAUGAACUUUUUUCAAUUACUAGUAACUUUCUUUUAGUUCUUCGAGAUUUGGCUAGCACUAUCCUGUUGUGAUUCUCUGAAAACUCUGCACAUAGCUAUAGGAAGUAAUUCGAGUUUUAUGGUGCAAGCCUAACACCUGAUACUAACAUUUCAGUUGCAGUUACUUGAUUUCUUCUGAAUAAGCUAGACCAUCUGUCAUGUUAAAUUCAUCUUAAAAUUGCAUACUGUUGCUCUAUGCCUGUUUUGAUUCCCUGCCAUCAGCCUUGUGAUUUUUUGGUGAUGUCAAAUAGUCAUCCUUGGAAACACAGGCAAUAUUUGUUCUCUAUUUUCUAGACAAACUAUCAAAUCGUCUUUCUCUUGAUGCUUUCAUACAUCAUUAACUCUACUGAUCAAAACCAUUAUAAUUGUUGCUUAGACGCACGCACACACCAAAACAAAAAAAGGCAGAGAAAUUGGAUUGUGGUAUGAUUUGGAAAACAUGAACAACAAUGGCAAUCUUUUUCCUACAAAAGUAUCAUCAGGAUCAAUCUACUCUCGGCUUCUGUUGGGUUAACAAAUGAAAUAAAACAAAUACUUCAUCAGGAGUUUGUCUUGAAAAAAAAAUAUGGUAAAUGCACCUUGUGCUCUUCACAGUAUGACGGGUCUGAAAACCAACUCUCAUCAACUACCACACCAUCCUUUAAUUCUCGGUUGUUUGCAACGGCAGCCAUAGAAGAUGUUAAUACUACUCUUUUGAUACAUGAAACUCUUGCACAAGAGCGCAGCACAUUUAGUGUUCCCUUUACUGCAGGGUCCAAUAGCUCUGCCUAAGAAUCGAAGCAGAAAGAAGAAGUCAGGCAUUGGAGAAACUAUAUACAUAAGCUCCAUCCAUGCUUCAUGACAAAAGUUAUCAUUUAAGUACUCUAAUUCUAACUAGUAAUGGAUUUUUAGUACAUAUGCCUUUCAGUAUACAGCUCCAUUGCAAUGUUUAUUCAUCACGUGGAUCAUCUUAAGUACCAAAAGAACCAACAUUGGGAAACUAGAGAAAUAUGUAUGGCAGUCGUACAAAUAUAGGUUCUUGAACACCUUAGAUCAACUAUCAACACUGCUAAAAAUGAGAAAGUUCAUGCUCCCUGAGAUCUUAAAAGAUUGAAAAGUCUAGCAAAUCUGAUUACUAUUUUAUAGCACUGAAUAACUCCUGUAAUUGCAAUAUGUUCUUUGAAUUGCAGGCUGGGAGCUAAAAUGCUUCUAAAUUUCAACUGGCAAGAGGUAUAGAUCACAUUUGUUCGACUUAUAUACUCAACAGAUGAAACUUCACAACACUUCAUUGUCUUUGCUAAUGAAUUCUGGAAGUAGUAUGAAAUGUUCCAAGAUAUGAAGAAAUUAUCUUCAACAUUUUUGCGUAUCUGCAUUAUUUAUCUCUUACGUUCAGAACAAAAAAUCAAUUAGAAGGUCCUUGUGCACUAUAAAGACAUUGAACUGAAAAUGUUGAAAUUUAACCUGUUUAUCUUUUAUUGUUUCAGUAGACUAACUCAUGCACUCAAUACGAGUAUUAUAAGGUUGCUCAGAUCAAACGUCAGAGGAUUGUAUUAUGCCGUAAAAUUUGCUAAAUCAUCCACAAUGACCUCAAGCAGCAGAGCCAUGAGCCAUCCACUUAAAGAAAUAACUAAAAUGAGUAAAUAUGUCUCUCACAAACUCAUAGAGCAAAAGUACUUGAAAUUUUUGUUGACUUAUGGUCUUUCUCCAAGCGGUCAGAAGGUCAAUGUACCUCAGGGUUGCUGACAGAAAGCAGAACAGGAGAUGCUGUGUGAAAUACGCCUUCACAGCCAUCAACUAGAGCACUGAAGGAUCCAUUUUCUAGUAAGUCUGCCUGAAACAAGUGAAGUCUUUCCUUGGCUCCAUCAAGUGCCAUCAAGAAUUCUGUCUUAUUUGGAUCAUCUGUGGCAUGAAUACAAGCCAGUAUCAUGUUUUUAGCACAAAAAUACUCAAGGCAAACCAAAUUUGUGAUUAAAAGGAUAACAUAGUUCUAAAGAACCGAAAAGUAUGAUGUUAGCGUGUUAUAUAACAUUGAAAAGAGGAAAGAAACAAAAGAUGGUAGGGAGUGACAAUAUGCAGGUACAAUCGAUUCUUGUGCUCUCUAAAGUGCAAAACUUCUUUUUGGCAAAUUAUGUUUCCUCAAACUCUGUUUUGCAAUUUGACAAUGGAUUCUAGUAGCAUCACAGACACCGUAACUUUGAAAAUCAUAAACAUUUUUUAAACGGAAUGAUCACAAAAGUCAAUGUGCAUCUGAUGUUGAUUUAUAAUGAAGUACAAGUUAGCAGCAUAAUUGGACAGUAGUAAAAUGCCACAAUCAUCCAGCAUAAAGCAAGCAAAUCACCUCUCCACCACUAGGUCAUCUCCUCAGAACCAGCUUAUACAAUGCAGGGCAGGGAUCACUAUACAUGUAGAAACUAGUAUCUCCUAGAGAAGAUAAUAUUAUGUGAAAUUCAAACAAAGAUGUUAUAUUAACCAAACAAAUUUGAAGAUAAUAAAAGAUAUGGGGUAAACUUUUCAUUGUUUUGAUUGCUCGCAUCCAAAUCCUGAAGCUUUCAAGAAAAGAAUUUAGCAUAGCUGAAGUUACAUACAAAUCAAUUUCAAGUUAUAAAAGAAAUUUCAUCACCAUUUUUAUGUCAAAAGAAGUUUCCCCGGAAUAAAUUUUGGAAUUAAUUCAUCUAUCCCAUCCUUUUAUCCUUCUGUAUAAUAUACAACAAAUACAAAUAAAACUAACAAAAUUAGAUAGCUUUUAACUUUUAAGGUGCCCUGCCAAUGCCCAGUCUAAAACAUGAUUUUGCACAUAAAGACAACUAUCUUGAAUCCAUCUAACCAGUUAUGUCUCAUAGUGAUGAUCAGAGUUGAACUCACUCAAACUUUUGUUAUAAAAAAAAAAAACCAUUUAAACUAAUUAGCACAAUCGGAAAUGAUACCCUACAUAUUAUAGGUUUAAUGUCUAGUUUAAGUUUGUGCUGGAUAGGGACGUGACAAUGGAAAAAUUUUCCAUGAAUUAAAUAAAUUAGUGUAACACAAAUAAGGGCCUCACAAGUUGAGUUCUCUCUGUUGGGAUAUCAAGUGUGAAUCAAUGUCCCACAUCGAAAAGAGACGAGUAGAAUAAGGAACAUAUAAGUGGAAAUGAUGCAGAUACGCAAAAAUAAUGCAGAUAAUAAUAAAUAAUGCAGAUACGCAAAAAUAAUGCAUUAUUUAUGAUGGAAAUGUUCCAUCAUGAUUUAGAUUAAAGUAUCAAAGUAAUGGAAAUGAUCAUUCAUAUGUGUGUGUAUAUAUAUAUAUAUCGCUCUUUCCUUCAAAAGACUAAUAAUACAUAAAAUUAUAUAAAAUCAUAUUUAUCCUAAAUUAUGUAUUAUUUCUCAACAAUCGAAUUAAGCCAAUUUGUCAAACUCAAAUUCAAGCUUGAGUUCAGCUAGGCUCAUUUAGUUUAACGCAUUCAAACUUCAAUAGUUAACAAAUUGAACUCUUGAACAACACUUACAGUUCAUAUAACAGAUAAUAUAAGAAAAGAGUCUAAAUAUCAAAUAUUAUUCAACUUAUUUAAAAGUGCUAUAUCCACAAAUUCCAAAUACCUCUAUUUUGUAGGACAUAGUGCCACCCAAUAUGCGACGUAGUACCCAAAACCGGUUGAAGCUUUUCCUUGUAAGGUUAUGAUUAAUGUAGGGAACAAGACCUUUGUACAAAACACCUUUUUUUUUUUGGUCGGCAACGGUAGAUGUCCUGUAACCUAAUCUAGCCUAAUCUAGGGUCCUAUAACCUAAUCUAGCCUAAUCUAGGGAAAAGGAGCAAGGGGAGAUGGUCAACUAAGACUAGCCACGUGUUGUGGCAAAUUUGAGGGAGGCAGGGGUAGAACCCCUGACCUCCGGCAUCACCAAAGAGGCUACCCCUCCCUCCAGCGUUACCAAAGAGGGUGAUGACCACCGGACCAAAUAGACAGUGGCACCUUUGUACAAACACAUGCAAAACAGGAAUAAUCUACAACUAUAAACACAAUACAAUUAGCAACUUUCAAGAUGGCUUAUAUGGAGUUUUGAAUGACGUACUGAGAUCACGAACAGAAGCUUUGACAGUAUAACCGCGGUCUAGAAGCAGCUUCACCAGCCAUGAAUCGAUGUAACCCGAAGCUCCAGUCACACACACCACUUUCCCAGCUCCACUCAUCUCCCCUUGGACCCCUUUUGCUUGUUAGUCUUAAGUAUGUUAGCUUGACUACAGAAGAAUUCAUAUACUUUAAUGGACGAAGAAAGUAGUGGCUGUUGAAGUUUCAGCAAAGGACAAAGCGUUGUUUUAACUCCACCUCCUCUUUCCAAGAUGGGACUAGAUUUUUCAAUUUAAUCAUAAUCAGUCGAGACUUUUUGGUAGUAUUUAGUGUCUGAUCAUGACUUCUUUUUUUUUGGUGUGUAAGCGGGAAGUUUCUGAUAACGACGUAAGUCAUAAAUUCUUUCAUGUUCUUAAAUAUAUGUGAGAAUAUUUCCUAUUGAAAUUCUUUUUUUUAAGGAAAUAUUCCAUCAAUAAUAAGUAGACUAAAUAAUUGGUUUUGCAAAAUAGAUGCCUUCCACAUUCAAUUAGAACAAGAAGCAAUACCCUUUAAAUUAAAUGGUAUUUCCAAAAAUGCGUACUUCUAUAUCAAAAAAAAAUUGUAUUCAUAAAAAUAUAUGGAAAGUGAAUGAAUAUUGGAUAGCUUUAAAAGCUUUUUUCUUAAGAAAAUCUCUUUCUACUGGGAAUUCAAAAGGUUUUUUUUUGUAUAGUAAACAAAUAAAUAAGUGAUAAAAGUUUGAGAUAAUUUUGAAAUGACUUUUUCCGUAAUUGGCUUUGGGAAAGUUCAAACUGACAAGAACUAACCUUUAAUAAUUUGUUUGGCUAGGUGAUUAUUUGGAAAAGAAAUUUGAGAACGUAUUUUUCUGUUAUUUUUUUAUCUUUCCAAUCAUCUUUUUGUCUUAAGCACAUUAUAUCACCAAAAAAAAAAAGAGAAAUUGUUACAAUAUAAUCUAAAAUAUGUUUCCAAAUUGUUGGAUAACUUAUCCUUUGGAAAAUUUUUUGUUGCAUUACAAACAUAUUUUUACAAUUAUUUUUUAAUCUUUCUAACUAUCUUUUUUAUCUCACAUGCAUUAAAUCACAAAAAAUAUUACAAUAAUAUUCUAACAAAUUUUUUCAAAAUAAUCUUCCAUCUAAACACACGCCGCAUACCAUUAAUCUCUGAAUCAAACACUUGCUAAUUUAUUCCCAGAAUCAUUUGAUUAGCACAUUCCCACCCUAAUGAGUCCUCAAUAAAUAAAUUAAGUAUUGAACACAUUUUAAACUUCAGCAGGCUCAUGUGGUUUAUGUAGUGCUAAUAAUCCUCAAUUAUUUUUUUUUUUAACAGGAGAAAGGCGCAAAUUAAGAAGUGAGGAGGGGGAGGGGAGGGGGAAUCUAAACUCGGACUUUUAAUUCUUAAGAGUCGUAACUUUAGCCAUUGGAUUAAGCCUUCCUUGGCAUAGCCCUCCUAUGGUUUCAUAUUGCUACAAUAAAAGUUCGAUCAGUUCAAUGAAAGUACCACAGACAAUUACUAACUAGAAUAAAAGUGCACCAGUCACAUAGUUCUAAGAGUUUACUCUCACACAAGAGAAUGAAAAAUUGGAAAAUGUAUAUUUUCCAAUCUCAAUCUGCUUAAGAAUUUUGUUCAGAAGUUAACCAAGUUCCUCUCUUUGAAGCUUUCGAUAGUAUCCUUGAGGCAAACGUU